GUGGCAGGGUGGCCUAGUGGUUAGAGUGUAGAGGUGGCAGGUGGCCUAGUGGUUAGAGUGUAGAGGCGGCAGGUAGCCUAGUGGUUAGAGUGUAGAGGUGGCAGGGUGGCCUAGUGGUUAGAGUGUAGAGGAGGCAGGGUGGCCUAGUGGUUAGAGUGUAGAGGUGGCAGGUAGCCUAGUGGUUAGAGUGUAGAGGCGGCAGGUAGCCUAGUGGUUAGAGUGUAGAGGUGGCAGGGUAGCCUAGUGGUUAGAGUGUAGAGGUGGCAGGGUGGCCUAGUGGUUAGAGUGUAGAGGUGGCAGGGUAGCCUAGUGGUUAGAGUGUAGAGGUGGCAGGGUGGCCUAGUGGUUAGAGUGUAGAGGUGGCAGGGUGGCCUAGUGGUUAGAGUGUAGAGGUGGCAGGGUGGCCUAGUGGUUAGAGUGUAGAGGUGGCAGGGUAGUCUAGUGGUUAGAGUGUAGAGGUGGCAGGGUGGCCUAGUGGUUAGAGUGUAGAGGUGGCAGGGUGGCCUAGUGGUUAGAGUGUAGAGGUGGCAGGUAGCCUAGUGGUUAGAGUGUAGAGGUGGCAGGGUGGCCUAGUGGUUAGAGUGUAGAGGUGGCAGGUAGCCUAGUGGUUAGAGUGUAGAGGUGGCAGGGUGGCCUAGUGGUUAGAGUGUAGAGGAGGCAGGUAGCCUAGUGGUUAGAGUGUAGAGGUGGCAGGGUGGCCUAGUGGUUAGAGUCUAGAGGUGGCAGGGUGGCCUAGUGGUUAGAGUGUAGAGGUGGCAGGGUGGCCUAGUGGUUAGAGUGUAGAGGCGGCAGGUAGCCUAGUGGUUAGAGUGUAGAGGUGGCAGGGUGGCCUAGUGGUUAGAGUGUAGAGGUGGCAGGGUGGCCUAGUGGUUAGAGUGUAGAGGUGGCAGGGUGGCCUAGUGGUUAGAGUGUAGAGGUGGCAGGGUGGCCUAGUGGUUAGAGUGUAGAGGUGGCAGGGUAGUCUAGUGGUUAGAGUGUAGAGGUGGCAGGUAGCCUAGUGGUUAGAGUGUAGAGGUGGCAGGGUGGCCUAGUGGUUAGAGUGUAGAGGAGGCAGGUAGCCUAGUGGUCAGAGUGUAGAGGUGGC
Long non-coding RNA from Oncorhynchus keta (chum salmon), 1084 nucleotides. RefSeq lists it as uncharacterized. The transcript has 3 exons. NCBI's taxonomy places the organism in Eukaryota, Metazoa, Chordata, Actinopteri, Salmoniformes, Salmonidae. The record is from RefSeq and is a predicted model, not a curated record.